GUGGUCUACCAGAGAGGGCACAUGUGCCUCAAUUGGCCUAUAGCAUAGCGACUCAUUAUCCUUCCACCGCUGGUGGCGGGCGAUACUCGCUGCUCUGUGAAGCCAGCCUCACGCAAUGUCCGCCACUUUAGGUGUUGGGAUGCAAAGGCUUUCUCCAAGGCAUCCGAAACCCACUACACAACUUGGAAUGGGUGGUCCACAGUUUGUAGCACUAGACCCAGGCACAUGCACCACAAUUGACAUCCACACUACCUUAUUGCCCCCGCUCGGGUUACAAGCAAUCGCUACUUGCUCAGCGAGUGAGGGGGUUCAAGACUACCUAUUUAAGGUGGUGUUGUACUCUAUGAGCCGACAGUGUGGUAUUUACCAACUACAAAUAGUGUCAUGCAUGUGACUUGCUAGUUGACAAUGUCUGUUGUCGAGCUAGAUGUGGGCUAUGGAUGAAGCACAUUAGGAUAUAGUAGGCCUAUUUUGUUUUUUGUUGUUUUUGGGCCACUAUGGACUUUAUGUUGAUGUUGUGAAAUUUUUUCCUGUGUUUCCUCUUCCUACGAUGUGGAAAGUGGGUGCGUCAGAGAAGAAAGAAAGAGUAGCUAGCAUUGAUUUUACGUCAUACCAUUGAGAACACUAAUCAGAAGCAGAAGCAACAAUAUUUCAUACAUAUACAACACUUGUAAUCCAUAUAAACAACUUUCCUUUAAAAUAUAAUAUAAACCACUUGAUUUAUAUCCUGGGUCGGCUAUCUCCACAAAGGGCAAGAAAACGCACCAAGUUUGUAGUAUAGAACUAAAAGUGUCGAUUCUCACGAUUUCUUCCCAACAUAUACAAACUAGACAGUAAUCACAUAAAAUAAAGAAAUAUGUGUUAACACGAACUUAUAGCAUGUAUUUCAACAUAUAGAUUGUUGAUUAUUAUGGUAGAUUAUAUAAAAUAGGGGUUCCCGAAGAAAUACAUAAAAACAAGAGCAUUAAAAGUUCCUUUUCAGAUCUGGCUAUCUAGUAAAAGGAGUUGGAGUAACUGAGUUUCCAAAUUUGUGACGUAGCUCUAUAGAAGGAAUAUAAAUACGUUGGAAAAAUUCUACAAGGAAAGGUCUAAUACAAGUAGGGCUAAGAAAAACUCAAUGAGGCUUUGGUCACAUGGUCACAAAACUUGAGACAAGAAACACGAAGACACCAAGGUAAUUAGUAUGAGAGUUUUCCAAAUUUGGUGUCUUGAUGUAGAAAAAAUAAAUAUAUGACAAACUUGUUUUUUCGCAAGGCAUGGAUAAAUAAGUGGGGGUGAACAAUAAAUUUCAUCCUAGAUUUAGAAGGAAUAAAUAUAUCACUAAAUACGUUUUUUCACAAUGCCAAGUUAAUCAGGUGGGAGCGAGAAACAAUUCUAGCGAGGCUAGUUUGUACUAGCCCAAAACUACAUACAACAGAGGAAAAAUGAAGAAAAUGAUGGUCUACCAAAUAGGGCGCAUGAGCCUUAAGGUGCACCUAGAGGGAAGUAGAAGAAAUAAAUAUAUAAUAGCAUAUGUUUUUCGCAAUGCAAGGUAAAGUGUAGAUGUGCUCUAACUGGGCUUAGAUUGCAGCGACACAUUAUGCAUCUACAAGGCUUGGUUGCACAUGGAAAAAGAUAGAGAGAGAAAUGUAGACGCAGGACCGGGAGAAAAACAUUCAAUGAGACAUGAUUGCACGGACAUAGAACUAGAUAUAAGACAAGAGUUAAAGAAAAAUAAAGGAACUAAAUUUUCUUCUACACACUCAGCAUGAAUGGAGUUGUAGUAUCUGAGAUCAAAAUUUAAUUUAUUCCAAGAUGCAGAACAAAAACGUGAUACUCGUAAUGGUUACAUAGGAACAAAAGUAGAUAAGAAAAAUAGCAAAAAGAUAGUGGUCUACCAGAGAGGGCACAUGUGCCUCAAUUGGCCUAUAGCAUAGCGACUCAUUAUCCUUCCACCGCUGGUGGCGGGCGGUACUCGCUGCUCUAUGAAGCCAGCCUCACGCAAUGUCCGCCACUUUAGGUGUUGGGAUGCAAAGGCUUUCGCCAAGGCAUCCGAAACCCACUACACAACUUGGAAUGGGUGGUCCACAGUUUGUAGCACUAGACCCAGGCACAUGCACCACAAUUGACAUCCACACUACCUUAUUGCCCCCGCUCGGGUUACAAGCAAUCGCUACUUGCUCAGCGAGUGAGGGGGUUCAAGACUACCUAUUUAAGGUGGUGUUGUACUCUAUGAGCCGACAGUGUGGUAUUUACCAACUACAAAUAGUGUCAUGCAUGUGACUUGCUAGUUGACAAUGUCUGUUGUCGAGCUAGAUGUGGGCUAUGGAUGAAGCACAUUAGGAUAUAGUAGGCCUAUUUUGUUUUUUGUUAUUUUUGGGCCACUAUGGACUUUAUGUUGAUGUUGUGAAAUUUUUUCUUGUGUUUCCUCUUCCUACGAUGUGGAAAGUGGGUGCGUCAGAGAAGAAAGAAAGAGUAGCUAGCAUUGAUUUUCCGUCAUACCAUUGAGAACACUAAUCAGAAGCAGAAGCAACAAUAUUUCAUACAUAUACAACACUUGUAAUCCAUAUAAACAACUUUCCUUUAAAAUAUAAUGUAAACCACAUGAUUUAUAUCUAGGGUCGGCUAUCUCCACAAAGGGCAAGAAAACGCUCCAAGUUUGUAGUAUAGAACUAAAAGUGUCGAUUCUCACGAUUUCUUCCCGACAUAUACAAACUAGACAGUAAUCACAUAAAAUAAAGAAAUAUGUGUUAACACGAACUUAUAGCAUGUAUUUCAACAUAUAGAUUGUUGAUUAUUAUGGUAGAUUAUAUAAAAUAGGGGUUCCCGAAGAAAUACGUAAAAACAAGAGCAUUAAAAUUUCCUUUUCAGAUCUGGCUAUCUAGUAAAAGGAGUUGGAGUAACUGAGUUUCCAAAUUUGUGACGUAGCUCUAUAGAAGGAAUAUAAAUACGUUGGAAAAAUUCUACAAGGAAAGGUCUAAUACAAGUAGGGCUAAGAAAAACUCAAUGAGGCUUUGGUCGCAUGGUCACAAAACUUGAGACAAGAAACACGAAGACACCAAGGUAAUUAGUAUGAGAGUUUUCCAAAUUUGGUGUCUUGAUGUAGAAAAAAUAAAUAUAUGACAAACUUGUUUUUUCGCAAGGCAUGGAUAAAUAAGUGGGGGUGAACAAUAAAUUCAUCCUAGAUUUAGAAGGAAUAAAUAUAUCACUAAAUACGUUUUUUCACAAUGCCAAGUUAAUCAGGUGGGAGCGAGAAACAAUUCUAGCGAGGCUAGGUUGUACUAGCCCAAAACUACAUACAACAGAGGAAAAAUGAAGAAAAUGGUGGUCUACCAAAUAGGGCGCAUGAGCCUUAAGGUGCACCUAGAGGGAAGUAGAAGAAAUAAAUAUAUAAUAGCAUAUGUUUUUCGCAAUGCAAGGUAAAGUGUAGAUGUGCUCUAACUGGGCUUAGAUUGUAGCGACACAUUAUGCAUCUACAAGGCUUGGUUGCUCAUGGAAAAAGAUAGAGACAGAAAUGUAGACGCAGGACCGGGAGAAAAACAUUCAAUGAGACGUGAUUGCACGGACAUAGAACUAGUUAUAAGACAAGAGUUAAAGAAAAAUAAAGGAACUAAAUUUUCUUCUGCACACUAAGCAUGAAUGGAGUUGUAGUAUCUGAGAUCAAAAUUUAAUUUAUUCCAAGAUGCAGAACAAAAACGUGAUACUCGUAAUGGUUACAUAGGAACAAAAGUAGAUAAGAAAAAUAGCAAAAAGAUAGUGGUCUACCAGAGAGGGCACAUGUGCCUCAAUUGGCCUAUAGCAUAGCGACUCAUUAUCCUUCCACCGCUGGUGGCGGGCGGUACUCGCUGCUCUGUGAAGCCAACCUCACGCAAUGUCCGCCACUUUAGGUGUUGGGAUGCAAAGGCUUUCGCCAAGGCAUCCGAAACCCACUACACAACUUGGAAUGGGUGGUCCACAGUUUGUAGCACUAGACCCAGGCACAUGCACCACAAUUAACAUUCACACUACCUUAUUGCCCCCGCUCGGGUUACAAGCAAUCGCUACUUGCUCAGCGAGUGAGGGGGUUCAAGACUACCUAUUUAAGGUGGUGUUGUACUGUAUGAGCCGGCGGUGUGGUAUUUACCAACUACAAAUAGUGUCAUGCAUGUGACUUGCUAGUUGACAAUGUCUGUUGUCGAGCUAGAUGUGGGCUAUGGAUGAAGCACAUUAGGAUAUAGUAGGCCUAUUUUGUUUUUUGUUGUUUUUGGGACACUAUGGACUUUAUGUUGAUGUUGUGAAAUUUUUUCUUGUGUUUCCUUUUCCUACGAUGUGGAAAGUGGGUGCGUCAGAGAAGAAAGAAAGAGUGGCUAGCAUUGAUUUUACGUCAUACCGUUGAGAACACUAAUCAGAAGCAGAAGCAACAAUAUUUCAUACAUAUACAACACUUGUAAUCCAUAUAAACAACUUUCCUUUAAAAUAUAAGAUAAACCACAUGAUUUAUAUCCUGGGUCGGCUAUCUCCACAAAGGGCAAGAAAACGCUCCAAGUUUGUAGUAUAGAACUAAAAGUGUCGAUUCUCACGAUUUCUUCCCGACAUAUACAAACUAGACAGUAAUCACAUAAAAUAAAGAAAUAUGUGUUAACAAGAACUUAUACCAUGUAUUUCAACAUAUAGAUUGUUGAUUAUUAUGGUAGAUUAUAUAAAAUAGGGGUUCCCGAAGCAAUACAUAAAAACAAGAGCAUUAAAAUUUCCUUUUCAGAUUUGGCUAUCUGGUAAAAGGAGUUGGAGUAACUGAGUUUCCAAAUUUGUGCCGUAGCUCUAUAGAAGGAAUAUAAAUACGUUGGAAAAAUUCUAUAAGGAAAGGUUUAAUACAAGUAGGGCUAAGAAAAACUCAAUGAGGCUUUGGUCGCAUGGUCACAAAACUUGAGACAAGAAACACGAAGACACCAAGGUAAUUAGUAUGAGAGUUUUCCAAAUUUGGUGUCUUGAUGUAGAAAAAUAAAUAUAUGAAAAACUUGUUUUUUCGCAAGGCAUGGAUAAAUAAGUGGGGGUGAGCAAUAAAUUUCAUCCUUGAUUUAGAAGGAAUAAAUAUAUCACUAAAUACGUUUUUUCACAAUGCCAAGUUAAUCAGGUGGGACCGAGAAACAAUUCUAGCGAGGCUAGGUUGUACUAGCCCAAAACUACAUACUACAGAGGAAAAAUGAAGAAAAUGAUGGUCUACCAAAUAUGGCGCAUGAGCCUUAAGGUGCACCUAGAGGGAAGUAGAAGAAAUAAAUAUAUAAUAGCAUAUGUUUUUCGCAAUGCAAGGUAAAGUGUAGAUGUGCUCUAACUAGGCUUAGAUUGCAGCGACACAUUAUGCAUCUACAAGGCUUGGUUGCACAUGGAAAAAGAUAGAGAGAGAAAUGUAGACGCAGGACCGAGAGAAAAACAUUCAAUGAGACGUGAUUGCACGGACAUAGAACUAGAUAUAAGACAAGAGUUAAAGAAAAAUAAAGGAACUAAAUUUUCUUCUGCACACUAAGCAUGAAUGGAGUUGUAGUAUCUGAGAUCAAAAUUUAAUUUAUUCCAAGAUGCAGAACAAAAACGUGAUACUCGUAAUGGUUACAUAGGAACAAAAGUAGAUAAGAAAAAUAGCAAAAAGAUAGUGGUCUACCAGAGAGGGCACAUGUGCCUCAAUUGGCCUAUAGCAUAGCGACUCAUUAUCCUUCCACCGCUGGUGGCGGGCGGUACUCGCUGCUCUGUGAAGCCAGCCUCACGCAAUGUCCGCCACUUUAGGUGUUGGGAUGCAAAGGCUUUCGCCAAGGCAUCCGAAACCCACUACACAACUUGGAAUGGGUGUUCCACAAUUUGUAGCACUAGACCCAGGCACAUGCACCACAAUUGACAUCCACACUACCUUAUUGCCUCCGCUCGGGUUACAAGCAAUCGCUACUUGCUCAGCGAGUGAGGGGGUUCAAGACUACCUAUUUGAGGUGGUGUUGUACUCUAUGAGCCGGCGGUGUGGUAUUUACCAACUACAAAUAGUGUCAUGCAUGUGACUUGCUAGUUGACAAUGUCUGUUGUCGAGCUAGAUGUGGGCUAUGGAUGAAGCACAUUAGGAUAUAGUAGGCCUAUUUUGUUUUUUGUUGUUUUUGGGCCACUAUGGACUUUAUGUUGAUGUUGUGAAAUUUUUUCUUGUGUUUCCUCUUCAUACGAUGUGGAAAGUGGGUGCCGUCAGAGAAGAAAGAAAGAGCGGCUAGCAUUGAUUUUACGUCAUACCAUUGAGAACACUAAUUAGAAGCAGAAGCAACAAUAUUUCAUACAUAUACAACACUUGUAAUCCAUAUAAACAACAUUCCUUUAAAAUAUAAUAUAAACCACAUGAUUUAUAUCCUGGGUCAGCUAUCUCCACAAAGGGCAAGAAAACGCUCCAAGUUUGUAGUAUAGAACUAAAAGUGUCGAUUCUCACGAUUUCUUCCCGACAUAUACAAACUAGACAGUAAUCACAUAAAAUAAAGAAAUAUGUGUUAACACGAACUUAUAACAUGUAUUUCAACAUAUAGAUUGUUGAUUAUUAUGGUAGAUUAUAUAAAAUAGGGGUUCCCGAAGAAAUACAUAAAAACAAGAGCAUUAAAAUUUCCUUUUCAGAUCUGGCUAUCUGGUAAAAGGAGUUGGAGUAACUGAGUUUCCAAAUUUGUGACGUAGCUCUAUAGAAGGAAUAUAAAUACGUUGGAAAAAUUCUACAAGGAAAGGUUUAAUACAAGUAGGGCUAAGAAAAACUCAAUGAGGCUUUGGUCGCAUGGUCACAAAACUUGAGACAAGAAACACGAAGACACCAAGGUAAUUAGUAUGAGAGUUUUCCAAAUUUGGUGUCUUGAUGUAGAAAAAAUAAAUAUAUGACAAACUUGUUUUUUCGCAAGGCAUGGAUAAAUAAGUGGGGGCGAGCAAUAAAUUUCAUCCUAGAUUUAGAAGGAAUAAAUAUAUCACUAAAUACGUUUUUUCAUAAUGCCAAGUUAAUCAGGUGGGAGCGAGAAACAAUUCUAGCGAGGUUAGGUUGUACUAGCCCAAAACUACAUACAACAGAGGAAAAAUGAAGAAAAUGAUGGUCUACCAAAUAUGGCGCAUGAGCCUUAAGGUGCACGUAGAGGGAAGUAUAAGAAAUAAAUAUAUAAUAGCAUAUGUUUUUCGCAAUGCAAGGUAAAGUGUAGAUGUGCUCUAACUGGGCUUAGAUUGCAGCGACACAUUAUGCAUCUACAAGGCUUGGUUGCACAUGGAAAAAGAUAGAGAGAGAAAUGUAGACACAGGACCGGGAGAAAAACAUUCAAUGAGACAUGAUUGCACGGACAUAGAACUAGAUAUAAGACAAGAGUUAAAGAAAAAUAAAGGAACUAAAUUUUCUUCUACACACUCAGCAUGAAUGGAGUUGUAGUAUCUGAGAUCAAAAUUUAAUUUAUUCCAAGAUGCAGAACAAAAACGUGAUACUCGUAAUGGUUACAUAGGAACAAAAGUAGAUAAGAAAAAUAGCAAAAAGAUAGUGGUCUACCAGAGAGGGCACAUGUGCCUCAAUUGGCCUAUAGCAUAGCGACUCAUUAUCCUUCCACCGCUGGUGGCGGGCGGUACUCGCUGCUCUGUGAAGCCAGCCUCACGCAAUGUCCGCCACUUUAGGUGUUGGGAUGCAAAGGCUUUCGCCAAGGCAUCCGAAACCCACUACACAACUUGGAAUGGGUGUUCCACAGUUUGUAGCACUAGACCAUGGCACAUGCACCACAAUUGACAUCCACACUACCUUAUUGCCCCCGCUCGGGUUACAAGCAAUCACUACUUGCUCAUCAAGUGAGGGGGUUCAAGACUACCUAUUUAAGGUGGUGUUGUACUCUAUGAGCCGACGGUGUGGUAUUUACCAACUACAAAUAGUGUCAUGCAUGUGACUUGCUAGUUGACAAUGUCUGUUGUCGAGCUAGAUGUGGGCUAUGGAUGAAGCACAUUAGGAUAUAGUAGGCCUAUUUUGUUUUUUGUUGUUUUUGGGCCACUAUGGACUUUAUGUUGACGUUGUGAAAUUUUUUCUUGUGUUUCCUCUUCCUACGAUGUGGAAAGUGGGUGCCGUCAGAGAAGAAAGAAAGAGUGGCUAGCAUUGAUUUUACGUCAUACCAUUGAGAACACUAAUCAGAAGCAGAAGCAACAAUAUUUCAUACAUAUACAACACUUGUAAUCCAUAUAAACAACUUUCCUUUAAAAUAUAAUAUAAACCACAUGAUUUAUAUCCUGGGUCGGCUAUCUCCACAAAGGGCAAGAAAACGCUCCAAGUUUGUAGUAUAGAACUAAAAGUGUCGAUUCUCACGAUUUCUUCCCGACAUAUACAAACUAGACAGUAAUCACAUAAAAUAAAGAAAUAUGUGUUAACACGAACAUAUAGCAUGUAUUUCAACAUAUAGAUUGUUGAUUAUUAUGGUAGAUUAUAUAAAAUAGGGGUUCCCGAAGAAAUACAUAAAAACAAGAGCAUUGAAAUUUCCUUUUCAGAUCUGGCUAUCUGGUAAAAGGAGUUGGAGUAACUGAGUUUCCAAAUUUGUGACGUAGCUCUAUAGAAGGAAUAUAAAUACGUUGGAAAAAUUCUACAAGGAAAGGUUUAAUACAAGUAGGGCUAAGAAAAACUCAAUGAGGCUUUGGUCGCAUGGUCACAAAACUUGAGACAAGAAACACGAAGACACCAAGGUAAUUAGUAUGAGAGUUUUCCAAAUUUGGUGUCUUGAUGUAGAAAAAAUAAAUAUAUGACAAACUUGUUUUUUCGCAAGGCAUGGAUAAAUAAGUGGGGGCGAGCAAUAAAUUUCAUCCUAGAUUUAGAAGGAAUAAAUAUAUCACUAAAUACGUUUUUUCAUAAUGCCAAGUUAAUCAGGUGGGAGCGAGAAACAAUUCUAGCGAGGCUAGGUUGUACUAGCCCAAAACUACAUACAACAGAGGAAAAAUGAAGAAAAUGAUGGUCUACCAAAUAUGGCGCAUGAGCCUUAAGGUGCACCUAGAGGGAAGUAGAAGAAAUAAAUAUAUAAUAGCAUAUGUUUUUCGCAAUGCAAGGUAAAGUGUAGAUGUGCUCUAACUGGGCUUAGAUUGCAGCGACACAUUAUGCAUCUACAAGGCUUGGUUGCACAUGGAAAAAGAUAGAGAGAGAAAUGUAGACACAGGACCGGGAGAAAAACAUUCAAUGAGACAUGAUUGCACGGACAUAGAACUAGAUAUAAGACAAGAGUUAAAGAAAAAUAAAGGAACUAAAUUUUCUUCUGCACACUCAGCAUGAAUGGAGUUGUAGUAUCUGAGAUCAAAAUUUAAUUUAUUCCAAGAUGCAGAACAAAAACGUGAUACUCGUAAUGGUUACAUAGGAACAAAAGUAGAUAAGAAAAAUAGCAAAAAGAUAGUGGUCUACCAGAGAGGGCACAUGUGCCUCAAUUGGCCUAUAGCAUAGCGACUCAUUAUCCUUCCACCGCUGGUGGCGGGCGGUACUCGCUGCUCUGUGAAGCCAGCCUCACGCAAUGUCCGCCACUUUAGGUGUUGGGAUGCAAAGGCUUUCGCCAAGGCAUCCGAAACCCACUACACAACUUGGAAUGGGUGGUCCAAAGUUUGUAGCACUAGACCCAGGCACAUGCACCACAAUUGACAUCCACACUACCUUAUUGCCCCCGCUCGGGUUACAAGCAAUCGCUACUUGCUCAGCGAGUGAGGGGGUUCAACACUACCUAUUUAAGGUGGUGUUGUACUCUAUAAGCCGGCGGUGUGGUAUUUACCAACUACAAAUAGUGUCAUGCAUGUGACUUGCUAGUUGACAAUGUCUGUUGUCGAGCUAGAUGUGGGCUAUGGAUGAAGCACAUUAUGAUAUAGUAGGCCUAUUUUGUUUUUUGUUGUUUUUGGGCCACUAUGGACUUUAUGUUGAUGUUGUGAAAUUUUUUCUUGUGUUUCCUCUUCCUACGAUGUGUAAAGUGGGUGUGUUAGAGAAGAAAGAAAGAGUGGCUAGCAUUGAUUUUACGUCAUACCAUUGAGAACACUAAUCAGAAGCAGAAGCAACAAUAUUUCAUACAUAUACAACACUUGUAAUCCAUAUAAACAACUUUCCUUUAAAAUAUAAUAUAAACCACAUGAUUUAUAUCCUGGGUCGGCUAUCUCCACAAAGGGCAAGAAAACGCUCCAAGUUUGUAGUAUAGAACUAAAAGUGUCGAUUCUCACGAUUUCUUCCCGACAUAUACAAACUAGACAGUAAUCACAUAAAAUAAAGAAAUAUGUGUUAACACGAACUUAUAGCAUGUAUUUCAACAUAUAGAUUGUUGAUUAUUAUGGUAGAUUAUAUAAAAUAGGGGUUCCCAAAGAAAUACAUAAAACAAGAGCAUUAAAAUUUCCUUUUCAGAUCUGGCUAUCUGGUAAAAGGAGUUGGAGUAACUGAGUUUCCAAAUUUGUGACGUAGCUCUAUAGAAGGAAUAUAAAUACGUUGGAAAAAUUCUACAAGGAAAGGUUUAAUACAAGUAGGGCUAAGAAAAACUCAAUGAGGCUUUGGUCGCAUGGUCACAAAACUUGAGACAAGAAACACGAAGACACAAAGGUAAUUAGUAUGAGAGUUUUCCAAAUUUGGUGUCUUGAUGUAGAAAAAAUAAAUAUAUGACAAACUUGUUUUUUCGCAAGGCAUGGAUAAAUAAGUGGGGGUGAGCAAUAAAUUUCAACCUAGAUUUAGAAGGAAUAAAUAUAUCACUAAAUACAUUUUUUACAAUGCCAAGUUAAUCAGGUAGGAGCGAGAAACAAUUCUAGCGAGGCUAGGUUGUACUAGCCCAAAACUACAUACAAAAGAGGAAAAAUGAAGAAAAUGAUGGUCUACCAAAUAUGGCACAUGAGCCUUAAGGUGCACCUAGAGGGAAGUAGAAGAAUAAAUAUAUAAUAGCAUAUGUUUUUCGCAAUGCAAGGUAAAGUGUAGAUGUGCUCUAACUGGGCUUAGAUUGCAGCGACACAUUAUGCAUCUACAAGGCUUGGUUGCACAUGGAAAAAGAUAGAGAGAGAAAUGUAGACGCAGGACCGGGAGAAAAACAUUCAAUGAGACGUGAUUGCACGGACAUAGAACUAGAUAUAAGACAAGAGUUAAAGAAAAAAGGAACUAAAUUUUCUUGUGCACACUAAGCAUGAAUGGAGUUGUAGUAUCUGAGAUCAAAAUUUAAUUUAUUCCAAGAUGCAGAACAAAAACGUGAUACUCGUAAUGGUUACAUAGGAACAAAAGUAGAUAAGAAAAAUAGCAAAAAGAUAUUGGUCUACCAGAGAGGGCACAUGUGCCUCAAUUGGCCUAUAGCAUAGUGGCUCAUUAUCCUUCAACCGCUGGUGGCGGGCGGUACUCGCUGCUCUGUGAAGCCAGCCUCACGCAAUGUCCGCCACUUUAGGUGUUGGGAUGCAAAGGCUUUCGCCAAGGCAUCCGAAACCCACUACACAACUUGGAAUGGGUGGUCCACAGUUUGUAGCACUAGACCCAGGCACAUGCACCACAAUUGACAUUCACACUACCUUAUUGCCCCCGCUCGGGUUACAAGCAAUCGCUACUUGCUCAGCGAGUGAGGGGGGUUCAAGACUACCUAUUUAAGGUGGUGUUGUACUGUAUGAGCCGGCGGUGUGGUAUUUACCAACUACAAAUAGUGUCAUGCAUGUGACUUGCUAGUUGACAAUGUCUGUUGUGGAGCUAGAUGUGGGCUAUGGAUGAAGCACAUUAGGAUAUAGUAGGCCUAUUUUGUUUUUUGUUAUUUUUGGGCCACUAUGGACUUUAUGUUGAUGUUGUGAAUUUUUUUCUUGUGUUUCCUCUUCCUACGAUGUGGAAAGUGGGUGCGUCAGAGAAGAAAGAAAGAGUGGCUAGCAUUGAUUUUACGUCAUACCAUUGAGAACACUAAUCAGAAGCAGAAGCAACAAUAUUUCAUACAUAUACAACACUUGUAAUCCAUAUAAACAACUUUCCUUUCAAAUAUAAUAUAAACCACAUGAUUUAUAUCCUGGGUCGGCUAUCUCCACAAAGGGCAAGAAAACGCUCCAAGUUUGUAGUAUAGAACUAAAAGUGUCGACUCUCACGAUUUCUUCCCGACAUAUGCAAACUAGACAGUAAUCACAUAAAAUAAAGAAAUAUGUGUUAACACAAACUUAUAACAUGUAUUUCAACAUAUAGAUUUUUGAUUAUUAUGGUAGAUUAUAUAAUAUAGGGGUUCCCGAAGAAAUACAUAAAAAACAAGAGCAUUAAAAUUUCCUUUUCAGAUCUGGCUAACUGGUAAAGGGAGUUGGAGUAUCUGUGUUUCCAAAUUUGGGACGUCGCUCUAUAGAAGGAAUAUAAAUACAUUGGAAAAAAAUUCUACAAGGAAAGGUUUAAUACAAGUAGGGCUAAGAAAAACUCAAUGAGGCUUUGGUCGCAUGGUCACAAAACUUGAGACAAGAAACACGAAGACACCAAGGUAAUUAGUAUGAGAGUUUUCCAAAUUUGGUGUCUUGAUGUAGAAAAAAUAAAUAUAUGACAAACUUGUUUUUUCGCAAGGCAUGGAUAAAUAAGUGGGGGUGAGCAAUAAAUUUCAUCCUAGAUUUAGAAGGAAUAAAUAUAUCACUAAAUACGUUUUUUCAUAAUGCCAAGUUAAUCAGGUGGGAGCGAGAAACAAUUCUAGCGAGGCUAGGUUGUACUAGCCCAAAACUACAUACAACAGAGGAAAAAUGAAGAAAAUGAUGGUCUACCAAAUAUGGCGCAUGAGCCUUAAGGUGCACCUAGAGGGAAGUAGAAGAAAUAAAUAUAUAAUAGCAUAUGUUUUUCUCAAUGCAAGGUAAAGUGUAGAUGUGCUCUAACUGGGCUUAGAUUGCAGCGACACAUUAUGCAUCUACAAGGCUUGGUUGCACAUGGAAAAAGAUAGAGAGAGAAAUGUAGACACAGGACGGGGAGAAAAACAUUCAAUGAGACAUGAUUGCACGGACAUAGAACUAGAUAUAAGACAAGAGUUAAAGAAAAAUAAAGGAACUAAAUUUUCUUCUGCACACUCAGCAUGAAUGGAGUUGUAGUAUCUGAGAUCAAAAUUUAAUUUAUUCCAAGAUGCAGAACAAAAACGUGAUACUCGUAAUGGUUACAUAGGAACAAAAGUAGAUAAGAAAAAUAGCAAAAAGAUAGUGGUCUACCAGAGAGGGCACAUGUGCCUCAAUUGGCCUAUAGCAUAGCGACUCAUUAUCCUUCCACCGCUGGUGGCGGGCGGUACUCGCUGCUCUGUGAAGCCAGCCUCACGCAAUGUCCGCCACUUUAGGUGUUGGGAUGCAAAGGCUUUCGCCAAGGCAUCCGAAACCCACUACACAACUUGGAAUGGGUGGUCCACAGUUUGUAGCACUAGACCCAGGCACAUGCACCACAAUUGACAUCCACACUACCUUAUUGCCCCCGCUCGGGUUACAAGCAAUCGCUACUUGCUCAGCGAGUGAGGGGGUUCAAGACUACCUAUUUAAGGUGGUGUUGUACUCUAUAAGCCGGCGGUGUGGUAUUUACCAACUACAAAUAGUGUCAUGCAUGUGACUUGCUAGUUGACAAUGUCUGUUGUCGAGCUAGAUGUGGGCUACGGAUGAAGCACAUUAUGAUAUAGUAGGCCUAUUUUGUUUUUUGUUGUUUUUGGGCCACUAUGGACUUUAUGUUGAUGUUGUGAAAUUUUUUCUUGUGUUUCCUCUUCCUACGAUGUGGAAAGUGGGUGUGUUAGAGAAGAAAGAAAGAGUGGCUAGCAUUGAUUUUACGUCAUACCAUUGAGAACACUAAUCAGAAGCAGAAGCAACAAUAUUUCAUACAUAUACAACACUUGUAAUCCAUAUAAACAACUUUCCUUUAAAAUAUAAUAUAAACCACAUGAUUUAUAUCCUGGGUCGGCUAUCUCCACAAAGGGCAAGAAAACGCUCCAAGUUUGUAGUAUAGAACUAAAAGUGUCGAUUCUCACGAUUUCUUCCCGACAUAUACAAACUAGACAGUAAUCACAUAAAAUAAAGAAAUAUGUGUUAACACAAACUUAUAGCAUGUAUUUCAACAUAUAGAUUGUUGAUUAUUAUGGUAGAUUAUAUAAAAUAGAGGUUCCCGAAGAAAUACAUAAAAACAAGAGCAUUAAAAUUUCCAUUUCAGAUCUGGCUAUCUGGUAAAAGGAGUUGGAGUAACUGAGUUUCCAAAUUUGUGACGUAGCUCUAUAGAAGGAAUAUAAAUACGUUGGAAAAAUUCUACAAGGAAAGGUUUAAUACAAGUAGGGCUAAGAAAAACUCAAUGAGGCUUUGGUCGCAUGGUCACAAAACUUGAGACAAGAAACACGAAGACACCAAGGUAAUUAGUAUGAGAGUUUUCCAAAUUUGGUGUCUUGAUGUAGAAAAAAUAAAUAUAUGACAAACUUGUUUUUUCGCAAGGCAUGGAUAAAUAAGUGGGGGCGAGCAAUAAAUUUCAUCCUAGAUUUAGAAGGAAUAAAUAUAUCACUAAAUACGUUUUUUCAUAAUGCCAAGUUCAUCAGGUGGGAGCGAGAAACAAUUCUAGCGAGGUUAGGUUGUACUAGCCCAAAACUACAUACAACAGAGGAAAAAUGAAGAAAAUGAUGGUCUACCAAAUAUGGCGCAUGGGCCUUAAGGUGCACCUAGAGGGAAGUAUAAGAAAUAAAUAUAUAAUAGCCUAUGUUUUUCGCAAUGCAAGGUAAAGUGUAGAUGUGCUCUAACUGGGCUUAGAUUGCAGCGACACAUUAUGCAUCUACAAGGCUUGGUUGCACAUGGAAAAAGAUAGAGAGAGAAAUGUAGACACAGGACGGGGAGAAAAACAUUCAAUGAGACAUGAUUGCACGGACAUAGAACUAGAUAUAAGACAAGAGUUAAAGAAAAAUAAAGGAACUAAAUUUUCUUCUGCACACUCAGCAUGAAUGGAGUUGUAGUAUCUGAGAUCAAAAUUUAAUUUAUUCCAAGAUGCAGAACAAAAACGUGAUACUCGUAAUGGUUACAUAGGAACAAAAGUAGAUAAGAAAAAUAGCAAAAAGAUAGUGGUCUACCAGAGAGGGCACAUGUGCCUCAAUUGGCCUAUAGCAUAGCGACUCAUUAUCCUUCCACCGCUGGUGGCAGGCGGUACUCGCUGCUCUGUGAAGCCAGCCUCACGCAAUGUCCGCCACUUUAGGUGUUGGGAUGCAAAGGCUUUCGCCAAGGCAUCCGAAACCCACUACGCAACUUGGAAUGGGUGGUCCACAGUUUGUAGCACUAGACCCAGGCACAUGCACCACAAUUGACAUCCACACUACCUU
RNAcentral lists this long non-coding RNA (15197 nucleotides) under Zea mays. RNAcentral's name for it is "long non-coding RNA (ZMAY_LNC000227)". Lineage: Eukaryota; Viridiplantae; Streptophyta; Magnoliopsida; Poales; Poaceae. The record is from RNAcentral.